RNAcentral lists this ribosomal RNA (171 nucleotides) under uncultured Eubacterium sp. Its description in RNAcentral is "partial 16S ribosomal RNA". It matches the Rfam family "Bacterial small subunit ribosomal RNA", at positions 657 to 827 of the family's 1533-position model. Lineage: Bacteria; Bacillati; Bacillota; Clostridia; Eubacteriales; Eubacteriaceae. The record is from RNAcentral.
GAGGGNGGAAUGUGUAGUGUAGCGGUGAAAUGCUUAGAUAUUACRCAGAACACCGAUUGCGAAGGCAGCUCUCUAAUCUACAUCUGACGCUCAGGCACGAARGCGUGGGGAUCAAACAGGAUUAGAUACCCUGGUAGUCCACGCNGUAAACGAUGAUAACUCGUUGUCGGG